Rosa chinensis is the source of this 864-nucleotide RNA transcript. RefSeq lists it as uncharacterized. The transcript has 4 exons. Lineage: Eukaryota; Viridiplantae; Streptophyta; Magnoliopsida; Rosales; Rosaceae. The record is from RefSeq and is a predicted model, not a curated record.
CCUUCCGUUAGUAUGUUAUCCGUUCAGAUUCAACCCUCUCUCUCUCUCUCUCUCUCUCUCUCCACAAACCCUUACCAUCCCAACCUCUUUGACUGCGACUCCUUGAGACCUUCCUCGACUUCUCCGACUCGCCGCCCUUCACCAUCGAUCUCUCCUUCGAGUGGAUCCUCGACUACCGUGACUCCGACACUGAUCAGAUCAAGCUCAUUGAUCGCGCCCUGCAGUUGAGAUCGGUGCUCCUCGAGGCCGGUAAGAUCUCGGCGAGACGACGAGCCUCCAAGCACAACUCCAUCUCCUGGGCUCUCCCUCUCGACCUCACCAUCAAGCUGUACUUUGCCGUUUUCAGUAGCAAAGCAAACUUACACAACUAAUUUUCAUGCUAAUAGAGAUGCAAAAACCAAGACAAAGGCAACGAACACCACAAGUGUUAAGUUGUGGCUCAAAAACUGAAGGAGGCAGAAAUUACCGAGCAAGACUCGCUUCUGGUUCCACUUUCCUCUUCUAGUUGACCUCUCCUCCUCCUCCGGCAACGAUGACCUCAAGAACUGGGAUGCCGACUUCUUCAAGGUCGACCAGGCCACCCUUUUUGAUCUCAUCCGUUUAAGCAGUAGAGGAGUUUAUGAGUGCAAUGGACAAGCAAGGAGGGCAAAAGAGUUAGUAGCAAAUAAGAACAACAUGAGAUACAGACCCCAAUCAUAUAAUCAAGGAUCAUUGAAAUGGAAAUUGGGGACUUCUUAUCAUUCAUUGUUUCAUUGAAAUUUAUUAUAAAAAAUAUUAAGAUUCAAACACGUGUAAUUAUAGAGUAUCUCCUCCUUUUCAAUUCAUAAUCCAAACACUAGAUUGGUGCCUUAGUUCGUCUUUAUA